This 253-nucleotide ribosomal RNA is filed under the name uncultured bacterium. Its description in RNAcentral is "partial 16S ribosomal RNA". It matches the Rfam family "Bacterial small subunit ribosomal RNA", at positions 524 to 776 of the family's 1533-position model. The record is from RNAcentral.
GACAGAGGUGCCAAGCGUUAGGCGGAAUCACUGGGCUUAAAGCGUGUGUAGGCGGAUCGUUAAGUACCUUGUGAAAUCCCACGGCUCAACCGUGGAACUGCUCGGUAUACUGGCGGUCUUGAGCCACCUAGGGGCAACUGGAACAAGCGGUGGAGCGGUGAAAUGCGUAGAUAUCGCUUGGAACGCCAACGGUGAAAACAGGUUGCUGGGGGUGUGCUGACGCUGAGACGCGAAAGCGUGGGUAGCAAACAGG